Molecule: ribosomal RNA, 229 nt
Filed under: uncultured bacterium
Lineage: Bacteria
Description: partial 16S ribosomal RNA
Rfam family: Bacterial small subunit ribosomal RNA
Source: RNAcentral
UCCAUAGGCGGGCAGCUCAGUCAGUGGUGAAAGUUUGCAGCUCAACUGUAAAAUUGCCAUUGAUACUGGUUGUCUUGAAUUAAUGUGAAGUGGUUAGAAUAUGUAGUGUAGCGGUGAAAUGCAUAGAUAUUACAUAGAAUACCAAUUGCGAAGGCAGAUCACUAACAUUAUAUUGACGCUGAUGGACGAAAGCGUGGGGAGCGAACAGGAUUAGAUACCCUGGUAGUCC